AGAGAUGUGUGAUGACGCAUAUCAAUAAGCGGAGGAAAAGAAACUAACAAGGAUUCCCUAGUAACGGCGAGUGAAGCGGGAAGAGCUCAAAUUUGAAAUCUUAAAGGUUUUACCUUGACGAAUUGUAGUUUAAAGAAGUGUUUUCUGUUGGAGUUUUCGGUAAAAGUUCUUUGGAAUAGGACAUCAUAGAGGGUGAGAAUCCCGUAUUUGACCGUUACUUUUCAGCUGUGUGAUACACUUUCAAAGAGUCGGAUUGUUUGGGAAUGCAGUCCAAAAUGGGUGGUAAAUUUCAUCUAAAGCUAAAUAUUGGCGAGAGACCGAUAGCGAACAAGUACCGUGAGGGAAAGAUGAAAAGAACUUUGAAAAGAGAGUUAAACAGUACGUGAAAUUGUCAAAAGGGAAGCGUUUGACACCAGUGUUGUUUAGUUGAAAAUCAAUUAAAUAUUUUUCGAUUUUAAGUAGUAUUGACCUUAUCAGCUUGCUGCUUUUUUCUCGGAAAUUAUUUAAUGCACUUUUCAGUUAACAAGUCAACAUCAAUUUCUUUUGUUGUAAAAAGGUAAGAGGAAGGUGGCUUGCGCUUCGGCUCAAGUGUUUAUAGCCUUUUACCCCUGCAAUCGGAGAGAUUGAGGUCUGCAGCGUAGAUCCUUCGGGGUUAGAUACAUUUGUGCUAAGCUAUAGCCUUGUAUAGACAACUUGUUGACUAUGCUCAGUCAUGUAGCUUACUCGCUUAUGCUAUUUUACCUACGCUUAGGAUGUUGAAGAUGUAGCACAUCAU
Molecule: ribosomal RNA, 775 nt
Filed under: uncultured Neocallimastigales
Lineage: Eukaryota; Fungi; Neocallimastigomycota; Neocallimastigomycetes; Neocallimastigales
Description: partial large subunit ribosomal RNA
Rfam family: Eukaryotic large subunit ribosomal RNA
Source: RNAcentral